GAUGAACGCCGGCGGUGUGCCUAAUACAUGCAAGUCGAACGCGUUGGCCCAAUUGAUUGACGGUGCUUGCACCUGAUUGAUUUUGGUCGCCAACGAGUGGCGGACGGGUGAGUAACACGUAGGUAACCUGCCCAGAAGCGGGGGACAACAUUUGGAAACAGAUGCUAAUACCGCAUAACAACGUUGUUCGCAUGAACAACGCUUAAAAGAUGGCUUCUCGCUAUCACUUCUGGAUGGACCUGCGGUGCAUUAGCUUGUUGGUGGGGUAACGGCCUACCAAGGCGAUGAUGCAUAGCCGAGUUGAGAGACUGAUCGGCCACAAUGGGACUGAGACACGGCCCAUACUCCUACGGGAGGCAGCAGUAGGGAAUCUUCCACAAUGGGCGCAAGCCUGAUGGAGCAACACCGCGUGAGUGAAGAAGGGUUUCGGCUCGUAAAGCUCUGUUGUUAAAGAAGAACACGUAUGAGAGUAACUGUUCAUACGUUGACGGUAUUUAACCAGAAAGUCACGGCUAACUACGUGCCAGCAGCCGCGGUAAUACGUAGGUGGCAAGCGUUAUCCGGAUUUAUUGGGCGUAAAGAGAGUGCAGGCGGUUUUCUAAGUCUGAUGUGAAAGCCUUCGGCUUAACCGGAGAAGUGCAUCGGAAACUGGAUAACUUGAGUGCAGAAGAGGGUAGUGGAACUCCAUGUGUAGCGGUGGAAUGCGUAGAUAUAUGGAAGAACACCAGUGGCGAAGGCGGCUACCUGGUCUGCAACUGACGCUGAGACUCGAAAGCAUGGGUAGCGAACAGG
Molecule: ribosomal RNA, 792 nt
Filed under: uncultured Lactobacillus sp.
Lineage: Bacteria; Bacillati; Bacillota; Bacilli; Lactobacillales; Lactobacillaceae
Description: bacterial SSU rRNA
Rfam family: Bacterial small subunit ribosomal RNA
Source: RNAcentral